UACGAAGGGGGCUAGCGUUGUUCGGAAUUACUGGGCGUAAAGCGCGUGUAGGCGGGUCUUUAAGUCAGGGGUGAAAUGCCAGGGCUCAACCUUGGAACUGCCUUUGAUACUGGAGACCUUGAGUCCGGGAGAGGUGAGUGGAAUUGCGAGUGUAGAGGUGAAAUUCGUAGAUAUCUGGAGGAACACCGGUGGCGAAGGCGGCAUCCUGGACCGAUAUUGACGCUGAUGCGCGAAAGCCAGGGGAGCAAACAGG
Molecule: ribosomal RNA, 253 nt
Filed under: uncultured bacterium
Lineage: Bacteria
Description: partial 16S ribosomal RNA
Rfam family: Bacterial small subunit ribosomal RNA
Source: RNAcentral